CCUGGUGACUAUAGCGGGGUGCCCCCACCCGUUCCCAUGCCGAACACGGCCGUGAAACACCCCUGCGCCAAUGGUACUUCGUCUCAAGACGCGGGAGAGUAGGUCAUCGCCAGGU
RNAcentral lists this ribosomal RNA (115 nucleotides) under Flavimaribacter sediminis. The record is from RNAcentral. Lineage: Bacteria; Pseudomonadati; Pseudomonadota; Alphaproteobacteria; Hyphomicrobiales; Rhizobiaceae.